RNAcentral lists this ribosomal RNA (497 nucleotides) under uncultured bacterium. RNAcentral's name for it is "partial 16S ribosomal RNA". It matches the Rfam family "Bacterial small subunit ribosomal RNA", at positions 28 to 507 of the family's 1533-position model. The record is from RNAcentral.
GAUGAACGCUGGCGGCGUGCCUAAUACAUGCAAGUCGAGCGAACGGACGAGAAGCUUGCUUCUCUGAUGUUAGCGGCGGACGGGUGAGUAACACGUGGAUAACCUACCUAUAAGACUGGGAUAACUUCGGGAAACCGGAGCUAAUACCGGAUAAUAUUUUGAACCGCAUGGUUCAAAAGUGAAAGACGGUCUUGCUGUCACUUAUAGAUGGAUCCGCGCUGCAUUAGCUAGUUGGUAAGGUAACGGCUUACCAAGACAACGAUGCAUAGCCGACCUGAGAGGGGGAGCGGCCACACUGGAACUUAGACACGGUCCACACUCCUACGGGAGGCAGCAGUAGGGAAUCUUCCGCAAUGGGCGAAAGCCUGACGGAGCAACGCCGCGUGAGUUAUGAAGGUCUUCGGAUCGUAAAACUCUGUUAUUAGGGAAGAACAUAUGUGUAAGUAACUGUGCACAUCUUGACGGUACCUAAUCAGAAAGCCACGGCUAACUACGUG